CAAUAGCGUAUAUUAAAGUUGUUGCGGUAAAAAAGCUCGUAGUUGGAUUUCUGUUGAGAGCGACCGGUCCAUACCAUGUAUGCGUAUCUGGCUUGCUCUCGGCAUCCUCUCGAUAGACGUUGCUGCGCUUGAUUGCGUGGCGCGGAUCUCGGGACUUUUACUUUGAGGAAAUUAGAGUGUUCACGGCAGGCUUUCGCCAGAAUACAUUAGCAUGGAAUAAUACUAUAGGAUCUUGGUUCUAUUUUGUUGGUUUCUAGAAUUGAGAUAAUGAUUAAUAGGGACAAUUGGGGGCAUUCGUAUCAACACGUCAGAGGUGGAAUUCUUGGAUUGUGUUGCGACGAACUACUGCGAAAGCAUUUGCCAGGGAUGUUUUCAUUGA
RNAcentral lists this ribosomal RNA (379 nucleotides) under uncultured eukaryote. Its description in RNAcentral is "partial 18S ribosomal RNA". It matches the Rfam family "Eukaryotic small subunit ribosomal RNA", at positions 592 to 976 of the family's 1831-position model. The record is from RNAcentral.